Long non-coding RNA from Apodemus sylvaticus (European woodmouse), 850 nucleotides. RefSeq lists it as uncharacterized. Lineage: Eukaryota; Metazoa; Chordata; Mammalia; Rodentia; Muridae. The transcript has 3 exons. The record is from RefSeq and is a predicted model, not a curated record.
ACCAGAGAACAUUCUGAAGGCCGGUUAAGUCGCCUGCCUCAUGAUCUCUGGCAAUCCGAACAAGCACGCAAGACAGAAAUGAGAAAUACCAAUUUCCCCUGUGAAAGUAAGUUUAAGAAAAAUAAAGAGCAGGAUCUGGGAAAUUUUGGUUCUUUUCUUUCCUCCCGUGUUGCAAGCUUGUGUGGUGGUGUUGUGGGAGUCGAAGAGUUUGCCGGUGGUGAGUCUGUUCACUCUCAUGAACCCUCGGCUUCCUGGCAUCAGAGAUCCCCACGCACAGACCCCUCUUUGCCCAUGGCUGUCUCUGCCUCGUCUUCCCCACACCAAAUCUCUUCACCAUGGCGGGCAGCUUUGACUGUCUUCUCAGAUCUUGGCUGUUAGAAUACUCUUUUGUUGACUGGGCUAUCCAUGACUGCAGACACAUGCUGAGCCCUCCGGAUCCUCCAGGAGGAAUCCUACUGUGCAGGUGUUCCUGGAACUGAUACAGGCUGACUCAAGACACAGUUCCCUGAGUCACCCCCCGGCAUGGCCUUUAAGGUUGUUCUUACAUCCUUGAUAGUAUAGAUAUUGGAGACUGUUAAAUAUACAAAUCAUAUGCUGUCCUAAAGCUUUAUGUAUUUUUAUAAGACAAUUAAUCUGGGAUUUUUUCUCACAAUAUAUUGGCUAGCUAACUUGGGUAAAAAUAGGUUUUCAGAGCCAGGAUAGUGAAACACAUCUGUAAUCCCAAUACCCAGGAGGCUGAGACCGAAGGUGAGACAGAAGGAUCACAAGUUCAAGUUAGACUGUGCUGCAUAGCAAGUCUCCACCUUCAACAAUCCCCAAAUAAAUCAAUGAGACUCCUGAAAUGACUGUA